RNAcentral lists this ribosomal RNA (1432 nucleotides) under uncultured organism. RNAcentral's name for it is "SSU rRNA". It matches the Rfam family "Bacterial small subunit ribosomal RNA". The record is from RNAcentral.
ACAGGCUUAACACAUGCAAGUCGAGGGGCAUCAGGAAGAAAGCUUGCUUUCUUUGCUGGCGACCGGCGCACGGGUGAGUAACACGUAUCCAACCUGCCCUUUACUCGGGGAUAGCCUUUCGAAAGAAAGAUUAAUACCCGAUGGCAUAAUGAUUCCGCAUGGUUUCAUUAUUAAAGGAUUCCGGUAAAGGAUGGGGAUGCGUUCCAUUAGGUUGUUGGUGAGGUAACGGCUCACCAAGCCUUCGAUGGAUAGGGGUUCUGAGAGGAAGGUCCCCCACAUUGGAACUGAGACACGGUCCAAACUCCUACGGGAGGCAGCAGUGAGGAAUAUUGGUCAAUGGGCGCUAGCCUGAACCAGCCAAGUAGCGUGAAGGAUGAAGGCUCUAUGGGUCGUAAACUUCUUUUAUAUAAGAAUAAAGUGCAGUAUGUAUACUGUUUUGUAUGUAUUAUAUGAAUAAGGAUCGGCUAACUCCGUGCCAGCAGCCGCGGUAAUACGGAGGAUCCGAGCGUUAUCCGGAUUUAUUGGGUUUAAAGGGAGCGUAGGUGGACUGGUAAGUCAGUUGUGAAAGUUUGCGGCUCAACCGUAAAAUUGCAGUUGAUACUGUCAGUCUUGAGUACAGUAGAGGUGGGCGGAAUUCGUGGUGUAGCGGUGAAAUGCUUAGAUAUCACGAAGAACUCCGAUUGCGAAGGCAGCUCACUGGACUGCAACUGACACUGAUGCUCGAAAGUGUGGGUAUCAAACAGGAUUAGAUACCCUGGUAGUCCACACAGUAAACGAUGAAUACUCGCUGUUUGCGAUAUACAGUAAGCGGCCAAGCGAAAGCAUUAAGUAUUCCACCUGGGGAGUACGCCGGCAACGGUGAAACUCAAAGGAAUUGACGGGGGCCCGCACAAGCGGAGGAACAUGUGGUUUAAUUCGAUGAUACGCGAGGAACCUUACCCGGGCUUAAAUUGCAGUGGAAUGAUGUGGAAACAUGUCAGUGAGCAAUCACCGCUGUGAAGGUGUUGCAUGGUUGUCGUCAGCUCGUGCCGUGAGGUGUCGGCUUAAGUGCCAUAACGAGCGCAACCCUUAUCUUUAGUUACUAACAGGUUAUGCUGAGGACUCUAGAGAGACUGCCGUCGUAAGAUGUGAGGAAGGUGGGGAUGACGUCAAAUCAGCACGGCCCUUACGUCCGGGGCUACACACGUGUUACAAUGGGGGGUACAGAAGGCAGCUAGCGGGUGACCGUAUGCUAAUCCCAAAAGCCUCUCUCAGUUCGGAUCGAAGUCUGCAACCCGACUUCGUGAAGCUGGAUUCGCUAGUAAUCGCGCAUCAGCCACGGCGCGGUGAAUACGUUCCCGGGCCUUGUACACACCGCCCGUCAAGCCAUGGGAGCCGGGGGUACCUGAAGUACGUAAAAGCAAGGAUCGUCCUAGGGUAAAACUGGUGACUG